This 528-nucleotide ribosomal RNA is filed under the name uncultured bacterium. RNAcentral's name for it is "bacterial SSU rRNA". It matches the Rfam family "Bacterial small subunit ribosomal RNA", at positions 355 to 896 of the family's 1533-position model. The record is from RNAcentral.
UGGGGAAUAUUGCACAAUGGGCGGAAGCCUGAUGCAGCGACGCCGCGUGGGGGAUGAAGGCCUUCGGGUUGUAAACUCCUUUCGCUAGGGACGAAGCUUUUUGUGACGGUACCUAGAUAAGAAGCACCGGCUAACUACGUGCCAGCAGCCGCGGUAAUACGGAGGGUGCGAGCGUUAAUCGGAAUAACUGGGCGUAAAGGGCACGCAGGCGGUUAUUUAAGUGAGGUGUGAAAGCCCCGGGCUUAACCUGGGAAUUGCAUUUCAGACUGGGUAACUAGAGUACUUUAGGGAGGGGUAGAAUUCCACGUGUAGCGGUGAAAUGCGUAGAGAUGUGGAGGAAUACCGAAGGCGAAGGCAGCCCCUUGGGAAUGUACUGACGCUCAUGUGCGAAAGCGUGGGGAGCAAACAGGAUUAGAUACCCUGGUAGUCCACGCUGUAAACGCUGUCGAUUUGGGGGUUGGGGUUUAACUCUGGCGCCCGUAGCUAACGUGAUAAAUCGACCGCCUGGGGAGUACGGCCGCAAGGUUA